UGGAGCCUGCUUGGGAUUCUGUGUUUCCCUCUCUCCCUGCCCCUCCCCUGCUCACUCUCUGUCUCUCUCUGUCUCUCAAACAUAAAUAAACAUUAAAAAUUUUUUUCUUUUUAAUUAUUAAAAUCCACGAACCUUUUCUUGUUUGUUAUGGAAGCUAGAGUUUGAAUCUAAGGAUAAAUCAUAUAUAAAGAGAAUAAUUGGGCAAGGCUUGCAUGAACAAGGUAAACUGUUGCUAUCUUUAAUUUUAGUUAAAUGCCUGUGAGGUAACAGGGAGGGCCUGGCAGGCCUAAGCAUAAUGUGAGCUAACUGUGAGGCUUCCCCACCUACUGCCCUUUUAGAAUCUCUACACCUUCCCUUCCCCCUUUCCAUUGCUUGACACAGACCCCAGACCUAACAAAAUCCAUUUCCCAUCACCACUUCAUUGUAGGAAACAAAUCGCAUCCAUUAAUUAAUCUUAAGGUAUCAAUAAUUGAUCCUAGUGUGAUGUAUUACCCUUCCCAAAUGUAUUUGCAUAAAAAAUGUAUUACACAACUGAUACAUUUUCAUUGCUGAGAAAUGGAAAAUUCAGAUAAGCAAAAAGAAAACAAACAUGCCCAGUAUCAUCAGGAAGAACCACUAUUACAAAUUUAGUUUCUGUUUCUCAAGCUCUUGUCUGUGCAUGUAUUAACAUUUUGGGGAGACUUCAGCCUUUGAAGUAGGGCGUUCACACCCCUUCCUUCCUCUCUCUCCCUUGCCCUCAGCUGAUCAUCAAGAAGCAGCGGUCCUACGGAACCAGCUGUGGAUAGUAUUACAGAACAUGGCCCCAUUCUUGAGAAAUCCAUGCACUUACAGAGGUUGAUAGGUAGCAGUUAUCAUUUAUUUUUGGAAACUAGUUUCCGUUGAUGCUUAUGUUGACACAGAUCAAGUUGACAUCUUAAAAUAUUUGAUUGGCCACAUCCCAGCUCUUCAAGGGAGGGAUCAACUGUGCUGAGCCUGCUGCAGUAUUACGUCCUACGUGUUUAAUCCCUUCCCUUCCAGAAGCCUUCCUCAGUCCCAUUAGAGUCAGAGGCAAAGACUGAAUUCUUGCAGCCCUUGUCUGUGUCCCUUAAAUGGCCCUGGGUGGCCUUGUAUUGUUAUUUUUGACAUCCACCUUCACAACUGCACAGGGGCCUCGAGGCCACACUUAGAAUCCUAGAUUCUUGUACUGCUUAAGGGAGCCUCGGAGAGGUCCACCCAAGGAGGCUCAAGAGGGCUUAGAUAACUGCCCAAGGCCACAUAGCUUUUAAGUGAGGUAGGACCCAGUGUUCUUUCUAUUCCAGCAGUGUUAGACAUAUUCCCAGAGCUUAUAAGUUAUGAAGUUAUUUAACUUUGCUUAUUUUUUUAUGAUCUAAAAAAUUUGGCCUAAAAUGCCUUUCUGAUCAUCUGAGUCUAUUCAUUAAACUUGAGUCGUCUCUCAAUUUCAUUGUUUGGCUUUGUGUUUUGUAUUGUCCUGUUAGUACUUCUCACUGGUUGGACCAAGAGGUCAGGUAACAGCAAUUAACUUAUAUAAUGCAGUGUGUUUUUUAGGGAGAGGGGUGACAAAGUAGAGGACACUCGGGGGUCCCCACUUUUCCAAAUUUGAGCAACACCACAGAAUAGCACACUACUUGUUCCCUGCAAAUGUGUUUGUUGAUGAUGCAUUUCAGUAAAAAGUAAAUUAAACAUUUUGUUUGGCUUCUCAUUUCUGAUUCAUGGUACUGUACUAACAGUAAAAGGCAAACAAAUUUUUGGCAUUUUUUUUAUUACAUUUUGGGGAUUGGACUGAUAGUGGUACCUGCGGACAUGAUCUCACUAGUGAGAACUUAAGAACUGGAAGUAAGACAUGGGUGUCACUGGUGUCCCCAUGAGCGCCCACGAUUUAAACUGUCUUCAUAAAUUCAGUGCCUGUCCCAGGACCGGACCACAAAUAUUCAUGCUCCCUGUAACAGUGACAUCUGGUGGCCCCAGAGUAAUAGGACAGCAGUUGAGGCCGUGAUCUGUGGAUUUGGGGGAGAUGAGUUUAUUUUAUGUCAUAUAGCAGCUGCCACUCUCACCACAGGAGCUGCUCCUCUUUCCCUGGGAGCCCCUCCCCAUGACACACUUCUCCCUGAUCACCGCAUAUCCAGUUAGCACCUCUGGCCCAAGAACCCUUCAACAUCAUCCCCACUUCCUCGGGGCACCAUCCUCCCAACUGAGCAGUGGACAAGCUAAUGAUAACAGCCUGCGUGGGAAGAAGUGCACUUACCUGUGGGGCCUUGUCAGCUGCCAUUGGUCGUGUUAGGCCGGGCCUGGCCUGGAUUCUGGUGCUCGAGGACCUGUGAUUUACUGCCUCCCUGGGCAGCAGGUGGCCAGGGUAUUUUUAGUGUCUGGGGCCUUUAGCAGGUUUGGGUGGGGGUAGGAAGCAAAGGUGAGGCCUCGGGGAUUCAGCUCUUCCAAGGUUUAAGUUCAAAGCCUCCCACUUGUGGGGUCUCUUCCUUAACUUCCUGUGGGCUUUCAGGCUCCUGGUACAGGGGUCUUCACUUCAGAAACCACGUAUGUUUUCUUGCAUGUCUUUGCCUUUUUCCUUUUCCUAGUCAGUCAGGAAGCGUGAGCUGGAGACCGCGAUACCUUUGGGAUGCCCGGAUUGUUUGGUAUCUAGGAAAGUGACUGGAUAUUAUUAACGCCCUGAGUGCAUACUCAUCCCAUUUCAAAGCACUUCUCCGUGCACUGUGUUAUUGGAUCCUCACGAUGAUCCCGUGAACUCUGUGGUCAGCAACUAUCAUCUAUCUUCCUCGUACGGAAGAACCUGGUGGAGAAAGGUGAGUGAUCACCCGAUGCCACAGGACGUGCACACGGUGGAACCUGAAGCUGGGCUGUCCUGGCUUUGCCACCAGCCGUGCUGAGUUAGAACCCACUUGUGCUGCUCACCAGUGUCGGGAUUCAGGGGAAGAUGUUUAACUUCUCUCCUUAUCCCCAAACUGAGAAUCAUGGUCCUUGGCACAUGCAGCUGUGAGGAUGUCUAAUCAAAUAUGCAAUAAACUGUUCUCAUCCAAAUGAAAGCUCACACGGUCGGGAGCCUGGCUGGCCCAGUCGGUCAAGCAUCUGACUUCGGCUCAUGUUCUCACGGUUCGUGAGUUCGAGUCCUGCUUCAGGUGAGCUUGAGCCCUGCUUUGGGUGAGCCCUGGCUUCUCUCUCUCUCCCUCUCUCUCUCUCUCUCUCUCUCCCACUCCCCCCUCACUCAGUUGCGCCCUCUCUCUCAAAAAAAAAAAAAAAAAUUCUCACACAUUUAUUUGGCUUUGUAUGUGUCCAGGGCCAGGCCCUAAAUAUAUGACACUGCCGCUGCCCUCACACAAGAGACAAUCUCCGAACCAACUAUUAAACUCACCAGGUGCUCAAACCUGGGGCUUCCGAGCAGGCACAUCAGAGGGAGAAAAAAAGGUAAAAAUGGAAAAGGCUGUGUGCCCAGAUGCUUUGUCAAUCGGACCCUCCGAACCUGGAUUUGAGUUCCCUGGUACAACUACUUGGUGCUGCAAAUGCUUUUGUGAUGCCUUGUCCUUGGCAUCUGUUUCCUUUCCAAGGAAACAUUCUGUCUGCGCUUCAGGGAAGAGGGUGUUUUCACCAGCACUUGGAUAGAAUGGUAUCAGCACCAUGAGAGACCUGGAGAGACGGGAACAAUGAAGUGACCGAGCUCUCUGCAGUGAGGGAGUGGGCGAGAGCUACGAUCCAAGUCGAUCCAAGUCAUGCUCUCCUGCAUUUUACCUGGAGCAGCUGAGCUGGACCCCCUGGGCUUGUCCUCUCCACGGCUGCCCCAGCCGUGGAGCCCAGGCAUGCCUCCGUGAGCCGCGAGGUCUCCAGCUGAUGGGGAGGGGCUGCUGUCAGUGUGAUCCUGGUGUUUCACACCAUGGAUCUGUGGGCCCACUGGGUUCCAGCCUCCCGGCUGGGUGCCUACAUACCUUUUCACUGGAUCACUCCCUGCUUUUCUUUGUUUAGUGAGCCAUUUCCCUGGGGGGUGGGCAGAAUCUGUCUCGAGCCUCAGCUCAUUUGCCUGUUGACCCUGAAAGCCUAAGUAGACCUAGCCAGUGAAGAGGACCUUGGCGGUCAGUGGUGGUGUUGGUGCCGACAUAUAAGGAACCAGGUCCUUUCCCUGUGAGUACUGGCCCCCGGUUCCUUCCCGGCCCCCAUGCUGAAAGUGGUUGUUGUCCAUAACUCACUAGUUCAAUGUCAUAUUCUGUGUAGAAAGAGUUCCAUGGUUGUGAUCAGUCUCUAAGAUCGGUGAUUCCCAUCAUCAUAUUAAGAGCUCUGAGAUGUCCUCUAGUGGAAAAACCUGUUUAAUUUCAUCGAACCCAGGAUUUCCCAAGUUUGUUGGACCAUGGAGGGAGGCCUCUUUUCAAGUCAACAGCACUUCCUGUCCUUCAGAUUAGAGCUCCACAGAACCCACUUUGGGAAGCAUAGCUACCUCCUGAGAGCUGUCAGCUGCCUUGACUCAUGGCCGCAUUCCACCCCAGAUGGCAUCUCCUAGGAUACCGAUCCCUCCCCAAAGUGGACCUGAGCUCAUCCCGUCAUGAGCCAGCCCCGGUUGGCCCAUCUCCCCAGUCCUAAUCCCACUCAGCCCUGGCACUCUGCCACGUUCCUGUUUGCCUAAUAGCCAUCCUAGGGCAACAGGAGAGGAGAGAGGAUUCUCCUGUGUCUUCCCAUCUUCACUGUCCACUCAGAUCGACACCCAGAGGGUGCAGUUCACCUUCGAGCUGGGAUCCCAUUGGAGAGUGAUCUGCUUGUUUUUCCUGCUUUCUUCCCUUCUGGUUCCUUAUCCUGUGCUCCCUGACUUCUGCUUGGAAUGCCCUGGGCCUGGCAGGAACCUUUUAUUAGGUGAGCAGGUCUCAUACAGCUUCAUUCCUGAUUUGGAAGACUUUAGCCCUGGUUAUCCUGGCUGGCAGUCUGAAAAUGUCUUACUCCAUUUUUGUUUUUUCUUAAAUGCAAACCAGUUGUCGACCACAGCCCUCAAAUAUACCUGUCCUUCCUCUCUGGUUUUCCUCCUGUCCAUAGUCCCACACAGGAUUCUCACCACCCAGUCUCUCCCACCUGUCAGCCCUGGUCCAAGAAGAGCCAACACUGCUGCCUGGAUGGGGAUGCUUAUUAUGGGCCUGGGUGUGAUUAGGUCCCAGCGGGUCCUGUCCAACCAAGGUGCAUUUCCCCCUCUGCUUCAUGAUGGUUUCUUCCUCUCUGCUUUGUGAUCAUCAUACUGGAGCCUCUGCUUUGAGUCCAUCCCAGGAUCUCUGGCCUCUGAAUUCCAUUGCCUGCUCUUCGCCUCUUUCUAAAACCUGCUCUCAGCACACCAUCUAAUCCUUGCGUUCACGUUGGAUCAACAAAACAUCGCCAGGAUGGGAAAGAGUUUUGUGGCCAGGGACACCCCAAGAACAUGUGAAAAUGGAACACCAAGGAAUGUCAGAAUUUAAAAGUGCAAUUUCACACAACUUAAAACUGAGAAGUAGCCAAUGUCACUGUGCCCUCCCCCUCCACAUCCAGGGGGGCAUAUUCCCUUGACAUGACUGCAUUUAUGUUGGACUCUCUUGGGUUUAAAGGGUAAAGCAUACGCUUAAGUAAGGUAGGAUAUCUUUGCCAUCUGCCACACCUUUCUGAAGCUAUAACUCCUUUCCUUAGCUCAUAAAUGAUUUAAGCUGUUUUCCUGACUCAUACUUGGAAUACCAUCCCUGAGCAUUAUUUUAUAAGCUUGUGAAAUCUUGAUAUAAAACAGUUCAGUGCCUGUGUUAGUCAGCUAGCGCCAAGGGGGUAAAAAAAAAAAAAAAAACCCCACAAAAGUCUCCUCAGUUCAAUGCAACAAUAAGCAUUUGUCUUCAGAGCUCUGUGUGUUGUCUGGGAUUUGGCUGAUCUGAAUUGGGCUCAGCUGGUCAACUCUGCUCCGCCUGCAAUGGCUGAGUGGCUCUGCCUCUCACAUCAGGUCUCUGGACCACGUUGGUGGCUUUGCUCUACAUGUCUCUCAUCCUGUCCUCCUUAGCAGACUAACCAAAGCUUGUUCUUCUGAUGGUGCCAGCAGAAGCAGAAGAGAGAAGCCCCAGUGUGCAAAACCUUGCAUCCCUGCUGCGUCACGUCUACCACCAGCCAUUGGCCAAAGAAAGUCACAUGGCCAAGCUCAAAGUCCCCGCGAAAGGACACUCCAUCCAUGAUGAGGCCAUAGUAAGGGAGUGGGUGGAGAAAGGAGUGAAGAACUGGGGCCGAUAGUACCACCAUGCUCACCUGAGGUACAUAGGAAAGGGCUAAAGGGUUUCUUCUGACCAUUGCUACAGCAGCAUUUUGUUGCAGAGAUGCUCCAGGGAACCCGGGAGUCCUGGGAAACUCUUGAAGUUCUCUCCUGGGAAGCUCUUCAAGAUGCUCACAGGCUCCCUGAGCCAGAGAACCAGGACGCCACCCAGAGUGUUCCCGAGGAGUGUAGAGGGAGCAGGCAGCAGAAAGGCAACAUGGCGACCAAGUAACUCUUCCAUGGCUAAGGGUGGUGAACCUUUAUACUCUGACAAAUGUGCACCAACAAAAGCACUGAGGGAGUGAGAGCCCCUGGAGCAGCCAGGUGUCUCACACCAUCCUCAACUGGGUAAUGCCUCCAGAAAAUAAACCAACGGCAUCCUACCAGGGAGCACGGGGACAGUUGCCUGGCGUGAGUAAAAUAGUGAAGGAGUCUGAGGGUCUGUCUCUGCAUAUGGGCUUCCCAGCAAUUCCGUUUUCAGCCCCAUUUUGAAGCUCCCUGGUAUUUCAGGUCUGGAGACCGCUUGGGGUUUGGUGCAGCUAAUCACUUGCUAAUCACUGUGAGGCUAUAGAGCGUGGUCUCUGGGCCACACCUCUGCAGCUUCUGCUGUGUGACCUGGGCAAGUUAUCUAACCGGUCUGUGCUUCAUCUCCAAAAUCAGGGCAAAAAUUCUAGCAUUGUUGGGGGAUUAUAUGACUUAAUGCACCUUCAACACUUAGACUAGGGCUUAGCACAGAGGAAGUCCUUUGAGCUACACACACACACCCCAAAGCCCAGCCAACUUAGGUUUCCACUUUGUCUGGUCUAUGAGAUCACUUUCCAUCUUCCAUAAUAGUAUUGCUAUCUCAAGCCUGCUACCCUCUCUUCCGUUUUCUUUGUCCUUGUGGGGUUUGGCCCUUUUUUUUUUUCUUUUUUUUUUUAAUCCCUUUGCCCUCCUGCUGAUGAGGUUUGGGCAGAUAGUAGAGUUACAUGUAUGUUGUAUUUCAAAACCUUAAACCACAAGUCUCCACAGCUUUCUUUCUUUGUCCCUGCUAAUGACCCCCUUCAGGUAGUAUAUUAAUCAUAUUCUAGGCUGAAUUCACUGGAGUGUUUCAAGCAGAGCCUGGGGAGUGAGUGUCCAGGCUUUUCAAUCAGGUCUGGAACUAGCUCUUAAUGUUAAUCUAGAAAAUGGCUGAGAAGUGCCCCAAGAUGAAUCUACUGGUUGAACUCCUUUCUGAAAUCUGAGUCAUCACCACUGGCUGAGGGGAAGGAAGGGCUCGUGGCAUGACAGGCCACCUCAAAGCUUGUGUAAGAACCUUGUGACCCACGGCUGUGUCAGAACAAAAACAACCAGCGGUCUUCUCACCCCCACAGCCCAGAGCUCUUGAUUCCUAGGGAUCAUCUGAUCCCUGGAGAACUUAAUCUUAUCCCUAAGUGGUAGAAGGGUGGAUCUUUGUGAAUGUCUUACUUGAAGAGUUUGGAAUGCUGGUUUAAAAGAAUGAACUCCCUCCCCAGCUAAGAUCAGGCCCAUGGAAUUCUGUGAGCUUCAGUUCUUCCACCUGGGUCAUGGUGUUGGCUGCACUUGGAGAAGCCCUGCUCAAAGUGCAGGAUACAACUGAGGAAAAAGUGGCUUUUCCAAUUAAAGAAUGACACUACCUUCUGGCUACUUGUCUCUUUUACUUUAGCACACUCUACUGACAGAAGUAAAAGCGCUUGGACUACUUAUUUUCCAUUUUCCAUCCCCCACCGUUGUCUACUCUGCUCUACACCCUGGGAGGCCAGCCUCUGAUGGAGAGCAUGGGAGGGUGGGAGGAAGGAGAAUCCAGAUUGUUAAUCCCCUGCUCACUCCCCAUUCCAGAGGGGUGUUCCCAGGCUAACCAGUCAGCUCUCCACUCCUGGGCUCAGGGCCAUCUUUUCUAAGUAAGAAAAGGUGAGAAGGUGGCAGUCCCACACACCCAGACCUUCCCUCGGGGGCCUUCUUUCUGCACACAGUAGGUCCUUGCUGUGGGAACAAUGAGAGGCAUGUGGCCCACAUUCACAUGGCCUCAAGCAAAGUUGUGAAGUUCCAGCUUUUUCCUUUCUGGGAGCACUUCUUAUGUUUUUCAACUGUUCUCAACUUUAAGCUUUGCUUUCUUAGCAAAACCUCUCCUGCAAAGAUUUUGAGAACUCAUUCCCAUUAAAGUGCAGAUAACUAACUAUCCUUGCUGCCCUUCUUCUGGUAAAUUUUCUUUUAAAAACUAAGUCCAAAGGAUGAACCUGUAAACGUAGAAUUUCAAAGAGAAGUGGAAUUGAGUGUGGGAUUCAAUUUCCAGUCUUCUGAAAUCAUUCCUAUGCGUUCAACCUACUAGUCUUUAUAAGAGGAGGGUGUAUUUAAAUGUGGUGGACAAAGCAUAAUGCAUAAACUUGUUCAAUAACUAUGUUGUACACCUGAAACUAAUGUAGCAUUGUGUGUCAGCUAUACUCAAGUAAUAAAAAAAGAAAGUGCAUGGAGGAGAUACUAAUUGUAGGCUUCCAGCACUCAUAGUGAACGUGCUCUGGGCCAGGAAGGGGCAGAAGAGAAGCACUGAAAUAGAGAUGUUAGUAGAUGUGGUAAGAAGGCAGAUGGAGGCUAAGUGUCCAGAGUUUCAGAAUUCAGAAGAGCUAUCUUGCUGUCUUUUGACCUCAGUCCCAUUCCUUCCCCCCACCCCCCAGCCACUCUCUCACCAGCAGUGACACCCUCUUUACUCCAGAACAAGUCUGGGUCUGGAAAAUCCUAAGGGUGGCAGAAGGGAUCUGCAAGAAAAGUCUGGGCCCCCAGAACUCUGUGUUUCAUAUGCAUUUUAGCAUGACUUCAUUGUUGUCCCACAUCGAAAGCUGGACUACAUGUUAGAGGCCAGGGACCACGUGUCUCCUUCGUCCUGUAGCUCUUGUACAUAGUUCAGUGUUUUGCACAUAGUGGGUGCUCAAGAGAUGCGAGUUGACUACAUGGACGCAUUACCACACUGAAUUCUCACAAGAACUUUGUGAGGUACCCCCUAUUAUCAUUCCCAUUCUGUAGAUGAGGCAGCUGGAACUUCAUUGGGUUCGGGCGCCUGGGUGGUGCAGUCGGUUAAGUGUCCGACUUCAGCCAGGUCACGAUCUCGCGGUCCGUGAGUUCGAGCCCCGCGUCAGGCUCUGGGCUGAUGGCUCAGAGCCCGGAGCCUGUUUCCGAUUCUGUGUCUCCCUCUCUCUCUGCCCCUCCCCCGUUCAUGCUCUGUCUCUCUCUGUCCCAAAAAUAAAUAAACGUUGAAAAAAAAAAAAUCUGCCCCAGGUUACCCAGUUGGUGAGGCACAGAGCUGGUGUACUAGUCAGUUCUGACUGACUUUAUGGCCAGACUCCAAGCCAGUGCACUUGACUGCGUUUAGACAAUACCGAUUUGAGCAAAGUGGAGGGGGGUGGGCGAGGUGCUGUAGCUCCAUCUUGGUAGUGAUUCUCUCAUGGAAGAAUUUUUGUAACCCUGAAAAUCUUUAUGUACAUUUCUUUAUAUUCUUUAUAUUUUCCCUCCUGGUUAGGUUAACAUUUAGUGAAGUUUGUGGAAUUCAAAAAGCUGCUGCUUUUACGAGCCGUGUGGGAAAGGGAUGCAGGGGUCACGCUUCACCACACCAAGAAAUCCUUCUCUCAGUUUCUCAUGGAAGCCAUGUGUUAGAGAUAGUGGGACCACAAAACAGAAGGAAACUUGGUCCCUGAAUCAUGUCUUGGAGGGCAGCUUUGUGCCUGUUAAGAACUGUCCUUCUGGAUUUUCUGUAACAUCACCUUCAAUAUUCUAAACCAAUGAGAAUACUCUUACUAUCCUCCUCAGCACCCUGGUGUCAUUCCAAGAAGUCACCGAGUUACAUUCUAAUAUCCAGAGGACCAAUCCUGCUUCACAGUUAAUCGCAGCCAAAAUUCUAGCUCCCUAGAAGGCGAAAGACCUCAUAAUUCCUACCAGAAGCUGGUGGCUUCCUAAACAAACCAUGUUGCUCCUGGUGGUGUUGCCAUUGCUAACAAUAAAAGGGUAUUUUAUGCAGAAGGUGAUCUUAUGGAGGAGUGACAUAGACACUCACGAGAGGUGUUGUGCUUGGAAGGGUCUCAUGCUGGUCUAGGGAGCAGAGUGGGUUUAUCUCUUUAUGCCAUCUGUUCAGCGUAGCAUCUGCCUGAAUGCAGGGGAAGAAAUCAAUCAGCAGAGUACUUUACUACUUUACUUUAGUCAGGACCAAGAUACUUGUUUGCUUAUUUAUGUGUUCUUGGGUUGAUGGAAAAAAGGAAUUAGAACAAAAAUUAUUUUCCAAUUCUCCAUUGCCACUUCUCUCAAUCUUCCCUAGUCCUUGUUUAUGCCAUGUUUAUUUAUCCCAGCCACAAGAACAGAAAUUAUCUCCCAAGUAGGUGGCUCAAUAAUAAUUGAGGUUGUAAAACUCAUUGUGACUGAUCAUGUUUACCUGUUUGGUUAUCUAAUUAAACUCAAGGUGGACUCUCUCUUUAGGUAGAUUCUAUAUUUUAUUACAUUUGUAAAAUCCUAAGACACUUAUGCAAUCCUCAAUUCUCAAAAAUGAUUAUAUUGUUUUUGCAGCUGUCAGAACAGAUAGAUGUCUGAGUAUUACUAUUACAUAAACAGGUAAACAAUCUUAUAGAGUGAUCUAAAUGUUCCCGUUCUAUGAGUUGGUGGUUCUCCGUGUUAUUUCUCUCCAUCUUGACCGGCUCCAGAAAAAGAAAAGGUGGAUGCAAUCUGGGUGCUCCCAUCUGUUUUUAUUCUCUCAGAAGAACUAAUAUUCAAGUCUUUGAGGAAGUAACUGAAAUCUCUUUUAAUUUUGCUCAUCCAGUAUCAAGAACGUUCCAGUGGCCUAUGAAAAACAAAUGUCUGCCUAAGGGACCUUUGGACCUUUUCUUGGCAAAGAAAAUCGUGUUAAGAGGUUGGACUCCAUCAGGCGUUAGCUAGCCUAGCUGAAGGAAGUGGUACUGAAUUGGCUGACCCAUACCUGGCCAAAUCGAAACUCACAGAAGAGCACAGUGGAGGAAAAGGGAGCAAACAAAAGACAGUGUUCUCCUAAUUUUCCAUUUCCUGAGAGAUCACUUUUAAAAUGAAAUUCCGAAGCCCCCAAGAGUGAUUAGAAUUGUUCUCCUGUGGCCCACAUUCUUGAAGAUACUUUUUACCAGCAUAGUCAUCUGUUAGCAUGAACAUGAAGAGGAGUCCUCCCUCCACCCUGGAGAGCUCAAGUGGGAAAGCUUAAGUUUCAACAAGAUUGCUUAGAAAGUUAUGCCAAGACGUUUGGACUUUAUUCUGUGGAGCGAACUGGAGUUUUCAAAGAGCCGUGCAAUACCUAACCAAGAAGAUUGUGGUCUCCAUAGAUGACAGGCUAGAGCAGUAUGAAGCUCUCCCGGCCUCAGUUUACUCAUUUAUAAUAAGAAAAGGGUUGGGGCGCCUGGGUGGCGCAGUCGGUUAAGCGUCCGGCUUCAGCCAGGUCACGAUCUUGCGGUUCGUGAGUUCGAGCCCCGCAU
Felis catus (domestic cat) is the source of this 11700-nucleotide long non-coding RNA. RefSeq lists it as uncharacterized. Lineage: Eukaryota; Metazoa; Chordata; Mammalia; Carnivora; Felidae. The transcript is spliced from 7 exons. The record is from RefSeq and is a predicted model, not a curated record.